GAGGGAAAUUGAGGCUGGUUUUCUGGUCUUGAAAACCGGCAUAGGUUAAUAGCCUAUCCAGGGUUCGAAUCCCUGUCCCUCCGCCA
RNAcentral lists this transfer RNA (86 nucleotides) under Vreelandella aquamarina. RNAcentral describes it as "tRNA-Ser". Lineage: Bacteria; Pseudomonadati; Pseudomonadota; Gammaproteobacteria; Oceanospirillales; Halomonadaceae. The record is from RNAcentral.